Meriones unguiculatus (Mongolian gerbil) is the source of this 12496-nucleotide RNA transcript. RefSeq lists it as uncharacterized. The record is from RefSeq and is a predicted model, not a curated record. The transcript is spliced from 5 exons. Lineage: Eukaryota; Metazoa; Chordata; Mammalia; Rodentia; Muridae.
GUGCUCCCUUCUAAUCAGAAGAACCUCUUACUGGCCUUGAAAGAGGAACAUUGUGUAGGGAAGGGCUAGGCCUUCCAGGCCCGGCAAGAAACAUCUUAAAACUGCCAUGCCUUGUUUGCAUUGCUAUGGUUGGAUUUUCAGGGUGCAUUUGCAUGUGUGGAGCGAAGCGGAAUACUGAUACAGAACUCAGGAGGCUGGAGUGCCCAAGCUCACAUCAGGGCGUGGAGUUGGAGCAUUCCACGUUCUAAUUUGUCCUUGUCGCCGGCUCACCAUGUGACCCAAGGCAAGUCCUAUUGCCUCCUCAAGUCUGUACCCUGAGCAUUCCAGAAAGGGAUAGAGAUGCCAAUCUCAAAGGAUACAGACAACACUAUUUUCAUAAGUUCUGGGAGCAUCCAGUGGCUGUGCUGUGGUUGUUACUGUAAAUGAAAUCACUGUAAUUAUACAUUUGUCACUUAAUGCCUUGUGCAUAGUAUUAAAUGUGAUAUAUUAUGUUAUAUUUUAGGUAACAGAUCUUACUCCUCUGAUUUAUACAGAGAGGACACAGAAGUUGACUCCAUAGCCCCUUAGAGUUGGCUGGCGGGAACUUGCAAAGCCAAAACUUUCCAUGUCCCAGGGAUUUGGUGUGAAUGUGACUGUUCCAUGCGUUGUGGGUCUAGGUACAGGAGAUGAGACCGGGGUUCCCUUGGGGACUCAUAAUAUGCCACCCCUUCACAGGGCAGGAUGAGAUCUUCCUGGAAAAUGACUUCAGGGUGCUGGUCCAGGUCUGAACUUUGUACCCCGAUGGUGGUCCAGAGGGGCCAUGGCAACUUCCAGCAUUCUUACUAUAGAUCCAGGAAGGAAUCUGAGAGGAAAGUUUUGCCACUGUGGUGAGUGAAGUGCUCCUUGGCCUGAUACGUUGACCAAAUAGCUUGCUUUGGAGAGAUUUUUCUCCUGGCUGUUUGUUCAGAAAGACCCAGCAAGAUUGCUUUUUUCUCAAAGCACCUUGUUGGAACAAAAAGAAAUCUUAAGGGUACUAGCCACACUUUCUGAUGUUAUAGGGAUGAUGAAAAAAAAAAAAAAAGCAACAAUUGUCUUCAAGCAAAGACAUUGAACCUUUUGUAUGGGAUAUUUAUUUUGAGGACUGACUAGUGUUCCAUUGGCUGGGGCUGUUAUUCCAGUAUUGUAGGCUCUGGCCACAUAGUUAGGGCAGAGGUUUACAGGAGGAAAACGAAAGUCCCCUGAGCUGUGGUUCUUGGGAAAUUUCAGCAUGCAUGUUCAUCUUUCUUUGUGGAGUGCUGUUUAAACUUUCACUAAUUUAUUUUCUCCGUCUGUGAUUUCUUUUCCAAGGCCACCAGGGUACGUCUACAACCCUUAGAAAGGUGGCCAGGUUUUGGAUUAUGAGCCACAUGAGGUUUCCCUUAGGCCAAGUAUGGUCAGCCUAGCUGGGUUUCAGGAUGGAAGCGCAUAAAACAGACUGGAAGAGACAGAAUUACUUUCCAGGGGCUUCAUCAGACAGGUUUGUGGCUUUCCAGUGCCAUCUCCUCUGCCUCACAUCCUGUUCUCAGAUGAACUUGGGAGUGGCCCGUAGGUUGUGUGAGUCUGCCUGGAGGGGAGAAGCCCACACUGGCCCUGCUUUACAUUUCCGACUAUAGAAAGUAUUUUGGAACCCGUGAUAAACUAACCCGGUACGUGGAACCACAAAGAUUGUCUUCUGAACUGAUUGAAUGCCCUGGAUUUAUCCCUGAGGCCUCUAUACCAAGGAGAGUAUGUCCAGCCUACUCUCCAGAGACUGAUCUGGCCCAAGCUGUGCCCGGUGGCUGCCACCUUAAAAGCCAGGCCAGCAGCAGAGGCUCACUCCGGAGUUUCAGAGUGUCAUGGCUGGGGUUUGUAUAGGGAUUGCUGGAGAGGGCCAACAUCAUGCAAUUCUGGGGAUCCCAAGGGGGACCCUUAGUCAGAGGACACCUGCUACUUCAGGUGACCCUUAGUCAAGAGACUCCUGCCGAACCAGUGGAAGAAGACAGACAAGGGAUAGGUCAUGAUUAGGGAACACCUACUCACCACACACACACACACACAAAAUGUUCUAGUAAACUAAAUAUUUAUCUUCUGAGUAAGGUUUCGUUUUUAAAAUUGCUUUUGAAUCUUUAAUUUGUUUUGAAUGCUGGGAGUUCUUAGCACCCCCACUAACAUGCAUCUCCAAAAUGCCAAGCAGAGAGACUUCAGGAUGUCCAGUUAAGGCUGUGAGUACAGGUGUGGAUGCGCUGAAAUCAUGGGAAAGGAUGAAAUCUUGUGCCCUGGGAAGAAAACAAAACAAAACAAAAUCCCAAACCCCAAAACAUGGGUUACAUUCACUUGCUUGAGGAAGCAGGCACAGAAUGCAGUGCAGUCUUGCCGUCAGAUUCUGGCGUUUUCUAGCUGGAGUCUGGAAUCUGGAGUCUCAGGAAUCUGGAGUUUCCUUAUCAUGAAGAUGUGUGUGCACAGGUGUCCAGGAUUCACUGUCCAGACAAUGGUGGGGAGGGUUUGUGAGCAGCGAUGGCCGUCAGGCUUGGGUAAGGAUGAAGGUCAGGACUGUCAGCUAUGGUUGUAAAGUGUACACACAUGGCACGCAGAGUGAAAAGGCCCAUGAUGUAUUUUUUGAGGCUGUCUAAGUUUUGCCUUCAGAUUAGAGGAGAACGCUGCCGGGCUGGGUUUGUCUGUGAAACCUUCCUUACUACUGGGAUUUCUGGCCAGAGGGGUACUCGGUAGAAAUAUCUUAAAUUUAGAAUCUCCUUUUGUAUAUUUAAGAAAGAUAUUUACAACCAAAUUAGGCUUUUAAAAAAAUAAGAUUACAUCUUAAAUGAUUAUAAACUACACCAAUGCCGCAGCCGCCUUCCCUGUCCCUUUGGGCAGUACAGCUGUGGCCAGUCUUCCUCUGGGUUUCACAGUACCCGGGCCUGACAAGGCUGGUUCUGACCUGGACAGAGAACUUAACAGUCUUCUCACGUCAACUGCCUUCCCAUGUAGAGGAAAGCUGGUUGGCGGGGAUUCUAGCUAGGCCUAUGGCAUGCAGUUGGGUCCGAUGAGGAUCCACUGCCCACCCCCCAUGGUGCUCCACUGUCCCAAGGCCUCAAUGGCCUGCUGUAGCUGUGGCGAAGCUGUCGUCUCCUAUAUGGCGAGCUGAGCAUGGUGGUAAUCACCUCUGAUUGUAGUGAUUGUGUGUGUGUGUGUGUGUGUGUGUGUGUGUAUGAUACCUCCCCUUAUGGCUGUGUGAUACAGGUUCUGCCUCUUUUCCCUUGUCUCAGCACGACCCCCAAAUAGCCAUUGGUCGGGUUUCAAUGGCUUCUCUGCACUGUAGACUGACAGAACAGGGCCCAUUUCACACAGCAUAGGGACCCUUCUCCUCCCAGGGCCAGGCUCUUGGCAGCCAUGCCAAGCCAUUGCUGGCAUGGAUUCCCGGCGUUCUUGGUCGAGCGCAUGGCAUCGGAAUGCUACCUGCUUUGUCUCUGGCGUCAGCUGGCAAGCAGUCACGUGGCCGUGUGCGUGAGAGCCCGAGCUAGAGACCAGAGACUCCUCCCGGGAAGCUUCCUCCUAGCUCACUCUACCCACCCUUUUCUUGGCCUUCGGCGUGAGUGCCUGAGCAGGCAGAAAGCAGUAUAAAACAAACAGGCUGCCCAAGGAAGGCCAGGUCUACAUGAUUUGCCUGACAACGCUUUACCUGAAUCGUUAUGGGCAGAAAGGCCCUCAGUGUGUCCCACGUGAUGAGGAGUUAGGCUCAUGGGUAGUGGUUCCUCUAGACCAUCCUCUGUGGCAGAGCUGGCCCCAGGGUGCCUAGGUGUCUGAGGAGAGAUGGCACAUCCCGCUCAUGCACUGUUUCCCAUACUCCAGACGCCUUGAGUACCUCUGACAUCACAUAAAGGCCCCAGAGUGACACUCUGAGAGGACUGCCAGGCCGAUCUGGCACAGGCAGGCAGAUUUGCCCCUCUCAGGCCCUUAGCCCCUCUGGCUGUUUCAGAAGGCUGGAGGAUAGGAAUGAUCCCCAAAGCAGUGACAAGGAAUGGCUUUAGUUAUGCUGAAGAAUCUGAGAGGAGAGAGUGCUGUCCUCCCUGACACUCCUUCUUGUUCUUGGCUGCUCGCUCACUCUGGGAUCCUCUCUGCUCUCAGGGGUAUUAGGUACCAAGCAAAAUGCUCAGCAUAAGGUGUAUUUCUUUCUGCAGCCCGUCAGCUACCACAAGUGGGAGACAUACUCUCUCUUCAUUACACAGAUGAGAAAACCGAGGCUAGACACUAGCUAAAUUCAAACCCACAGUCCAGGCUCCUGGCUGGGCAGCUCUUAGUCUCCAAGAUUAGGACGGGUCACUCUGAGAGCCCUGCUCAGGGAGUAGCUGGGGUGAGAGCUCUGUUCUCCAAAAGGAGAACAGCAGAGUGCCGGCCACCCCCUGCCGCUCUCUAGAACCCAGCAUAGGAACAAUGCGGCCUCUAUCUGGAGCAGUUUGGACCGCCUGGACUCCAGGCCCCUCAGAACAGCUUGGCUAGCCAGGCAGUCGCAACAUGGCGCCAGGGCCACCCUGCCCAUUUACAGGGCUGGCUGUCGCCUGGGCUGGGGCUGGGCUGGGGCUGGGCUGGGGCUGGGCUGGUGCUCCAGGCGUCCUCAGGCUAGCUGCUGAGUGGUCAGGCACUGUGGCAUCCUCCCUCCUCUCCCCGUCUUCCAGCCCCCGCCUCUUUUUGGUAGUGGGUUUGGGGACCCGGCCCACCCGCCUCUGCCACGUCUGCCAUCCUCCAGGCACCCACGAGCAUCUUUCGAAAAUUCCCGGUGGGCGGGGCUGAGCUGUAGCGGCCGCCUCUGCCCCCCCUCCCUGGGAGCCAGUGCCAGAUGAGAGAGAGCAGGAGACAAAAGUAGCAUUUUCCUCGUCCUCCUAGGCUGGCAGCAGGGCCUUCCCCCAGCGCCACUUGCUCCUGGCAGUUCUAACCCCCGGGUGCCCCAGCGGCCAAGGCCCAGGCCAGGACCUACGGACUGAUGGACGCCAGAGCCCAGGAGGCCCAAGAGCCUGUCUGACAGAGGCUGUCACCUGGGCACGGCCUGCUGGCUGGCAAGAGCCCUCUUCCCCAGCCAGGGCAGGGGACAUCGUUUUCACUUCCUGGCUUUUGAGAAAGUGACCCUGUUCUCCAGUUCCUUGGCUUGUACCUGUUGGUGAUGAUAUUAGAGAACAGCGGAAGUGACAAAUGGAUGAAACCCGACGCAGCUGCCUUAGGAGUGAGAGGGCUUCUAAAGGAAUGUAGCUGAGAUGGUGGUUGGAGAGGCCACACGUGAGCCGGCCGGAGGGAGCCCUCAGCAUCUGUUUGGCACCCAGCGACCUGGCUACGAAUGCGGCGACAGGAGGCUUCGGUCCUGCCAGAGGGCUCCGCAAACAACUGGAGAGGUUUCUGGAGAACAUGGAAGCGCCAGAGAGCCUCCCAGGAAAAGUGAGCGCCUGUCGUGUGUGGCAGAAGACCACCUACGACCUCACACACAGGAUCAGAAGCCUAAUCUCAAAGUGAUGCCAUCAAGGCCCACAAACACCUCCGGCAGCCCUGAGUCAUCGCCGUUUGACAAUCCAGUACCAAGGUAGGACAGCAGAGCAAGCUCUGGGAGCCGGGAGUGGCCAGAUAGACCUGCUUACUCCGGUGAUGGGGCAAGGGUGUUUUUUUGUUUUUGUUUUUGUUUUUGUUUUUUUUUUAAUUUAUUUAUCUAUUUUUUGUAUAUAAAUGCUCUGUCUGCAUGUAUAUCUACAUGCAAAAAGAGGACAUCAGAUCUCAAUAUAGAUGGUUGUGAGCCAUCGUGUGGUUGCUGGGAAAGUGGGGACGGGGGGGUUCUUAAAAGAAGCUAGGAAGUAUUUCCAUGCAGAACAGAGAAGGGUUAUGGGACUUUUGACUCUUCUUGGGCAGCAUGUGUGUUUCUUGGUGGCCCUGCAUGGCCCUGUGCCUUCUACCAGGGUAGCAAGAAGCUGUGUGUAGACAGCACGGUCAGGCUGUCUAUAGGAAGCUAGCUGGAUGCCGGCCCCAGACUUCUUACCCACAACUCCCGGGCAGAACAUUCAGUCACCCUGCAGUGAUCUGUGUUCAGGUCGUGCCCUCCUUCCAGAGAGACCCAGUAGAAUGUCCAAAAUCUACCUUCCCAGACCAGUGCCAGGUUAGGAGGGGAUCUCCUGGGAUCCUGGAGGGACUGGGCCUACAGGGAGCUGAUUGAGGGGUCUGUCAGAGAGCAGGCAGAGUAGGUACUUCGUGACUACAUCUGUAAUCAUUUCCCACCCGCCUUCCUAUCACCCAGACGAUGCCUAAGUUGAGAAGAGGUACAGAUGAGCACACACCUCUGUGGUCAAAGCUGGUAACUUGUAGCCUAACCGCCCAUCCCCAAGCUGAGUCCAGGGAGCAGGAGGGCCCUGCACAAUGGCCUUUCCCCACUGUACACCAGACCAUGUGUUCUUUGCCCUAGGCAUAAGCCAGCAACCUCCUCAUGGCUCCUGCUACUGUCUAUAACGACAGCUAUCUCACUGGCUCCCCAGAGAAGGCACAUGGAUGACUGACUUUGCCCCAGGUAGAGAGCGCGAAGCUCAGAUAUGGGCCUCCUCAGGCAGCUGUAGACCCCGGCUCCCCCAUUCUCUCUCAUGAGCUCUGCUACGGGCUACUUCUAGGGGCGGCCCUGCCACCAGGGCUCUCCAGGCCUUGAGCUCUGUGCAGGUAGCAUCCAUCUGGCCCCUGCAGAAUCUGUGGUACACUUUUGGGAGAGGGUGUUCAGGCCUGUGGUGCCCUUCCUCACAGACCUGCCAAGCAUUCUAGCCAGAAGGCAGGGGAGACUCAGCAAACCUGGGUCAUCUUCACUCAAGUAUCGUCUUGUAAUGUCGGGGGGGGGGGGGGCUUUGCAUUAAUCAUUUCUCUGAACUUCUCACAAAGGCUUUACUUGUCUUCAUGACUGAGAUUUUGGUCACCCCUAACAUGUCUUAGCCAGAUCCAAGAUGGCGCUCGGUGGGCACGGCCCUCCUCUGGGCACACCGACCUAUGCCUAGUCAGUGAGCAUACAUCUUGUUAACUUUAUGGGCCGUGUUCACAAGGAGAUCCGCCCUCUGCCCAGCCGGAUGCCACCCCUCCCAUCGUUCCCAGACUUGCUGUUGGCACGGCCUACUGAGCAGAGACACUGGCCGCUUUAUGGGAGAAACCUAAUCAGGGAGACCAGGAGAGGGGGGCUGCCCCUGGUGUGUGUGGGUUGCGGGGGGGGGUCUGGCUCUUGGUGGCCCCAAGCCAAGCCUGAGGUGACUUCAGGGUGACACCGUCUGUCUGCCUCUCUCCCUCCAGACAUCCGCCCAGCCUUGAAAGGGCCACCUGCCUGCCUAGGCCUUUGGCGCACCUGUCCUGGCCAGCCUGGCUCCUCCCCCAGGCACCCUGCCCAUGGACAGACACUGCAGGACUGGGGCAGGGCUGGGAGGUGGCAGCUGGCAGAUGGCAGGGCGUCUGCUGACUGCUCACUCCCUGGCGACCUGUUCAGGAGCGCCAUUCAUGUGCACUGCCCGCCCUGCCACUGGCCCUCCUCCAGCUUGGCCCCACUGGGUCCCUUUGGUCUGUUUCAGGACCCCCUUCUCUGUUACCUCCUGAGAAAGGAAGCAUUUCUCUGAGUCCUAACCAACCCCCAUCUCCAGCCUGAGGCCAGUGGUCAAGGCCUAGCUGUUUCGCAGGUGGGCUUGGCACAUCUGAACAUGCCCCAAGUAUGGACCUUGGCCUUUUCCACAGUCGUUCACAAUGACUCUGGAGAUGGCCACAGACCCAGAAAGGGUGACAUGGCCUGAACUUGAGGAAUUACUCCAAGUCUGCUGGGUGAGGCAGAGCUACGUAGGAACUGAGGAGACCAUGAUAGCCAUGCUUGCCACCCGAGCACAGGAGAGACACUGUCAGAAGAAUGGGUUUAAGACAGACAUCUGUGGGUCAGCCUCACCAGACCCCCUGGAGAGCAGGAACCUUGCAGAAAGAAACAGGAAAAACAGGUCAGCGGUUCCUGGCAGAGAGACAGACCAGGGCAAAAGCCAGGAGGUGGGAAGGGCCUGGGAAAUGGCCAAGGAGGGCAGAGGAGGCUUGCCCAGGGCAUUUGCUGCUUUGUGGGUUGGGGGCAGGGCUGAUGGGCACAGUAGGAAGGAUCAGAGAAAGGGUGUCAGUGUGAUGGAUAGCUUGGCUGUCUUGGAAGCACAGGCGAGGCUGGUAGUCAGGGAGGGGGCUUUCCCACCCUGUGUCCUCACCAGACCCUUAGUAGCCAAUGAGCUCAUCUUCCCAUCCCUGAGCUGUGAGGGGAUAGCAAGGCUGGAGACAAAACGCGCUGGCUUGAUGGACAGAUCCUGACUAGGGCUUGUCUCCAUAGUCUGCACUCAGGCUCAGCUCCAGAGCCCUUGCCGGCCAGGCUACUCCCUCACAACCACCAUGUCCCUACUUGGCCUUCCAUCUUACUGCCGGCUCCGCCAUGAUGCUUUGGCCAGAGUGGGCCCGACAGCAGUAGAUUAGUGACUUGAUUGAUGGAGCAAGCCUGUGGUCCAAUGAGCCCCUUCCUUGGGUCUUUGCUCUUAGAUCCAGGACCCAUUUGCCCUAUGGCAGAAGCUGCAGCCUCUGAAAGGGGAUUAACUCUCCCUCUAGGGUACCACAGGCCAGUGUGCAUGAGGCGAGCAUGAGCUUGUCCCCUCACCAUGCUUCCUCUCUCCCUCUGGGCCCCACAGCAUCCAAUCAUCAGCCAGGAGGGCCACUGGCCACCCACACAGACAUGCUGAGCCACCAUGAAUGAAGUUCAAGUCGUAGUCUCUUACCAGCACGUCUAUCGCAGGGCUGGUCUCAGAGGCCAUUCCAUGCAAGGCUUUGCAUACAGAGCGUCACUGGGCAGCAGACAGACUGAGUGAAAAACUGUGCUCUGAGGUAUGAAGGUGUGGCCUGGGGAGGUAGCCAGGGGCCAAGCUUUCUCCUUUUCUGAAGCCGAUGUUCAUCCGCUUUUGUUUCUGAACCCAAGCAGGUCAGGAACUGGUACCACGAAGGAACUUCUGCAUUCAGACAGCUCCCCUGUGGUGAGUAGGGGCCCACUGCCUUUCCUCUGGAAAGUAGGGAGCCAUUGGGAGACUUCAGAAUGAGGAAGGUCAGAACCACAUUUCUGUCCCUGCUCCCAGACCUGCCCUCAGCCUUGGAUGCCUUUACCUAGAGGCCUUGUGCUCCUCCCUCACCCCAGUACUGUGCCUCCCCACAGUGAACUGCACCAGAUGACAUAUCUGCCCAUGAUGCACUGUGAUAGGAUGACCUUUGACCCCCUCUCGGCCUACCCAGGCCAGACAUGGUUUGACAGAGAUGCAGUCCCCUUCAUUACUGGCUCUGAGUGGAAGAAUCACAGCCUUGAGAGCCCUCUGGGGCCCUGGGUAUGAGGUAGCUCUCUUCUCUCUGUCUCCCACCAUCAUCUCUCAGCCCUCUGGUGUGAUCGUAACACCCCCAGGCCACCUGGCAUUGGUGGAGGGCCUGCCAGAAGAGUCUUGCCUGGAGUAAGAAGAAAGGGCAGAGGAGGCAAACAGUCACAUCUGUUUCCGUGUUGGGCUAAGGCACAGGGGGUGGUGGCCAUGGUCAAGGAGAACCAGGAUACUUGUCUCUUGUUAUUUCUGUCCCACAGCUUGGGCCCUGCAAGGCUUGUGUUUCAGUGAAGCUCAAAUUCAGGGAGAGCCAGCAAGUGCAGAGCAGGUGUUUUGGGGCCCGUCAUGGGGGGCACAAACCGUCCUCCGGCUGAUAUUUAACUACAGAGUGGCUGAGGAGCUGCUGAGAAUCCCCAAGGCUCAGCUCAAGGGACCCCACAGAAAUGUAAGCUGUAAGAGUCACCCAGUGAGACUGGGAUUGAGAUGUGUCUUCUCUCUUUCUUCAAGGUGCUUUUUUUUUUUUUUUUUUUGAGGGGGGCACUCAGAUGGAGAUGGCCAGUGUGGCCUCUCGUCAUUCCACCACAUCCAGGUGCAUCCUGGGAACUGACAUGGUCCGUCAGCUACAGAGUGGCUAAGCAGUUUGUGAUACCCCUCAACCUUCCCACCUGGCCUGCUCAUCACAGAUGGGCACAUUAAGGCAGGGGGGAGGGGCUCAGCCACUCUUUUUCCCAUGCCUCUUCCUGCCUUGCUGGCUCUGUUUGGACCAUCCUUGGGGGAUAUUUGAGUUGUCUGUCAGUGAAAGGGUCCAGGCUUCAUGCAGGGGAUGGCACCCCAAUGGCUUACAUAGAAUUCCUUUGGGGCUUUUCAGUUUAGUGGUUCCUAUCGCCUCAGACUGGACAGUGGCUGCAUACUGAGGGCCAGGCUGCACUAGGGCCCUGGGGCCUUGUUCCCAAGCCACUCUGCUCCAUAAUCUCUAGGUCUGGGUACACGAUAUAGACUUAGGCCUAAUGGCUUCAUUUUGACCCAGGGGCCUCAGACUUGCUCCUGUGACCCUUGGCAGGGAGGGAAGGAGGCGUGGCAUCAGAUGCCAAGGCUCAUGCAGAGAGUGAAAACUGCCUGGCUUCCUGGGACUAAGAGACAGUGCUGCUGGGAAAUCCUGUCUCUGUCCGAGGCCUGAAAGAAGCAGCUCUUUUCCCUUAACAAGCGCAGAGCUACCCGGCGUCAGAGGCUCGGCCUUCGGAGCCUCAGUUUCUUCACAGUGAGCCCCACCCCACAGCUGGAGGAUUAGAUGGCUCUGUCCAGCCCCAUACCCGCCUAGGAAAGCUGGGAAAGGAGGCCUGCAGUACAGUCUCCAAGUGUACAUACAGGCUGACUGCUGCCCCAGAGUGAGCCUUACCUGUCCCAUUACACAGUGAACAUCGAGAUCCAGGCCAGGCCCUCUAUCCUUACCCAGGCAUUUCCCCCCUGCCAGGCUUAGUUCAAGGCUCUGGGAGCCCCAGGCAUAGAGCCCCUGCCAGUCUCAGGAAGUGCUGGUCACCAGGGACAGACUGGCCAUGAGUGUCCAGCCAGGGUCUGCCCUUGCACCCGGCUGGCCACCGUGGGGAGCUAGGCUGCCUCCCACAAGGAAAAACCAUUUUGAGCCUCCCAAGCAAGGUCAGCUCAGGCCACCCUGGGGGGAGGGAGGGAGGGAGACAGGGACAGAACCAGAACCCACAAGGAGGGGCUUUUCCUGUCUAAGAGGAGGAGGUGCAUGUCCAAGGCCACUGCCUAGCUGGAGUCCUGGUGCCUCCAACUCUCCUUGUGCUGGAACUGAGUGGGCAGGGGCUGGACCUCAGCCAGGUGGACACCGGGAGCUCCCCGGACCUGGCUGUCCUUUAACAAAUGACACCCUUUUUUCAUUGUGGCCACUCCUGCGUAGUGACAGAUGACCCCCCCCGCCCCCGCUGCUUUUCCUCUCUUCUCCCCCACUUCCCUCAUUCUCUCUGCUUGAUGAUUUUGUUUCAAUGCCAUGGCCCACUUUGAGGGGAUCCCCAUCCCCUGCUGGCUGAUCCCUUUGGCACUGAGCUGGCCGUGUGGGGCCCCUCACCAUGUUCCCAGCUCUUCCUUUUUCCUCUAGGAGGUGACCUCAGGAAGCUGCGCUCUCCAGCUCCACACCGAGACUGACUGACGGCCUUUGGGGUGAGGUAGUAGGUUGUAUGGUUUUGGGCUCUGCCCCGCUCUGCGGUAACUAUACAAUCUACUGUCUUUCCUGAAGUGGCCGCACUAUCUGCAAUGGACGCAGCGCCAGCCCUGGCUGGGGAGGCUGGGGGAGGCUCAGGGGGUGGUAGCCGCUGUGCAAAAAGAAAGUUUUACGGGGACCUUGGGCAGUCCCAUGAACUCUUGCUCUGUUACUCAUCUCUGUAAGGGUUUGGGUGUGGGCGUGGAAGCAGACGUGCCAUUUCCAGGGCACCUCCUCUUCCUGGGUCACACUGAAGGAAGGGGCCUUCCUUCCCCUCACCCCAGAUCAGACCCGGCCUCACAGGUCUCCACGAAAAGAGGGUCUGGACUCGUCCUUCAGCUCUGUACCAGCGUUGUCUUCACACUGUAGGCCUAGCAAUUUUGCCUAGGCUUUCCAGCUCAGGGUCAGGCCUCUGAUGAGUGGCCUCCAUCUACAGAGAGGCAGGAUGCCUUUCCCAAGAAGGAAGUGAGAGGAGGCGUUCUGAGCGCACAUGGGCACCUGGGCAGCUGGGCUGUGUCAGCCACUGUCCCCGGGGAGAUGGAUUCAGACACCGGAGGCUUCCCCAUCUGGUAGGCACAGGCCUUUCUUGCUGAGCCGCUGUCUCUGCUCCCCCACCCCACCCCCCGCCCUGCGCCAGCCGCGCCCUGUGGCUCUGGCGGCCCGUGGGCAGGGUGGGUGGGGAGCGUCAGGGCCUCCUCCAGAGCACGGACGCCGCAGGGUGAGGUAGUAGGUUGUGUGGUUUCAGGGCAGUGAUGUCGCCCCUCCGAAGAUAACUAUACAACCUACUGCCUUCCCUGAGGAGCCCAGGGACACGCCCACGGAGGACCCUGCUCAGCAAGCCACAUGGAGAGCCUGUGCCGUAGACUGGGCGGGCGCUGCAGUGUGGGGCCUGGGUAUAAAUAAAGGCUGUUCUGACGUGAGCUUACAA